This is a long non-coding RNA of Rhodamnia argentea, 179 nucleotides long. RefSeq lists it as uncharacterized. The transcript is spliced from 2 exons. Lineage: Eukaryota; Viridiplantae; Streptophyta; Magnoliopsida; Myrtales; Myrtaceae. The record is from RefSeq and is a predicted model, not a curated record.
GUCGUCAUCGACUCAUUUCCGAACAAGAAAUAUAACAAUAUCGCGAAUUAAGGAAAAUAUCAAACAGAAGAAGAUACGAACGUGUCCAGUGCACAAAUACAUCGACCUAUUCAUUCAUAUUAGCACGAGCCAAACAUCACACACAUAGCCUACUAAAACAUAGCACCUGCAUUUCGACC